UUGUGUCUUCGAGUCGUUGAUUUCACACUGCCGAGAAAAGCCUCUAGAUAGAAAAUAGGUGCCCGUACCGCAAACCGACACAGGUAGUCAAGAUGAGAAUUCUAAGGUGAGCGAGCGAACUCUCGUUAAGGAACUCGGCAAAAUGACCCCGUAACUUCGGGAGAAGGGGUGCUCUUUAGGGUUAACGCCCAGAAGAGCCGCAGUGAAUAGGCCCAAGCGACUGUUUAUCAAAAACACAGGUCUCUGCUAAACCGUAAGGUGAUGUAUAGGGGCUGACGCCUGCCCG
Molecule: ribosomal RNA, 286 nt
Filed under: Staphylococcus aureus
Lineage: Bacteria; Bacillati; Bacillota; Bacilli; Caryophanales; Staphylococcaceae
Description: partial 23S ribosomal RNA
Rfam family: Bacterial large subunit ribosomal RNA
Source: RNAcentral